This 468-nucleotide ribosomal RNA is filed under the name uncultured bacterium. Its description in RNAcentral is "partial 16S ribosomal RNA". It matches the Rfam family "Bacterial small subunit ribosomal RNA", at positions 28 to 507 of the family's 1533-position model. The record is from RNAcentral.
GACGAACGCUGGCGGCGUGCUUAACACAUGCAAGUCGAACGGAAAGGCCCUGCUUUUGUGGGGUGCUCGAGUGGCGAACGGGUGAGUAACACGUGAGUAACCUGCCCUUGACUUUGGGAUAACUUCAGGAAACGGGGUCUAAUACCGGAUAGGAGCUCCUGCUGCAUGGUGGGGGUUGGAAAUUUUCGGCGGUUGGGGAUGGACUCGCGGCUUAUCAGCUUGUUGGUGGGGUAGUGGCUUACCAAGGCUUUGACGGGUAGCCGGCCUGAGAGGGUGACCGGCCACAUUGGGACUGAGAUACGGCCCAGACUCCUACGGGAGGCAGCAGUGGGGAAUAUUGCACAAUGGGCGGAAGCCUGAUGCAGCAACGCCGCGUGCGGGAUGACGGCCUUCGGGUUGUAAACCGCUUUCGCCUGUGACGAAGCGUGAGUGACGGUAAUGGGUAAAGAAGCACCGGCUAACUACGUG